Molecule: ribosomal RNA, 630 nt
Filed under: uncultured bacterium
Lineage: Bacteria
Description: bacterial SSU rRNA
Rfam family: Bacterial small subunit ribosomal RNA
Source: RNAcentral
UCUAGUGGCGCACGGGUGCGUAACGCGUGGGAAUCUGCCCUUGGGUUCGGAAUAACAGUUGGAAACGACUGCUAAUACCGGAUGAUGACGUAAGUCCAAAGAUUUAUCGCCCAGGGAUGAGCCCGCGUAGGAUUAGCUAGUUGGUGGGGUAAAGGCCUACCAAGGCGACGAUCCUUAGCUGGUCUGAGAGGAUGAUCAGCCACACUGGGACUGAGACACGGCCCAGACUCCUACGGGAGGCAGCAGUGGGGAAUAUUGGACAAUGGGCGAAAGCCUGAUCCAGCAAUGCCGCGUGAGUGAUGAAGGCCUUAGGGUUGUAAAGCUCUUUUACCCGGGAUGAUAAUGACAGUACCGGGAGAAUAAGCCCCGGCUAACUCCGUGCCAGCAGCCGCGGUAAUACGGAGGGGGCUAGCGUUGUUCGGAAUUACUGGGCGUAAAGCGCACGUAGGCGGCUUUGUAAGUUAGAGGUGAAAGCCUGGAGCUUAACUCCAGAACUGCCUUUAAGACUGCAUCGCUUGAAUCCAGGAGAGGUGAGUGGAAUUCCGAGUGUAGAGGUGAAAUUCGUAGAUAUUCGGAAGAACACCAGUGGCGAAGGCGGCUCACUGGACUGGUAUUGACGCUGAGGUGCGA